UUUCAUGCAUUUUGAGUCUUGACUAUGAAA
RNAcentral lists this non-coding RNA (30 nucleotides) under Mus musculus (house mouse). The record is from RNAcentral. Lineage: Eukaryota; Metazoa; Chordata; Mammalia; Rodentia; Muridae.